Haemorhous mexicanus (house finch) is the source of this 1220-nucleotide long non-coding RNA. RefSeq lists it as uncharacterized. NCBI's taxonomy places the organism in Eukaryota, Metazoa, Chordata, Aves, Passeriformes, Fringillidae. The transcript has 3 exons. The record is from RefSeq and is a predicted model, not a curated record.
UAGCGCGCAUGCGCGUUUCGAAGAGGGUAGUUAUGACGCGCGUGCGCAUUGGGAAAUACGGCGCCUUUGGAAAUACGGAAUUUGGCUGGCUGUCUCGGCAGGAUCGGCGGCUCCGCCGUGCCCGGGGUGCUGCUCACAUGUUCUCUCUUCUCCACGGCUGCGAGAGCUCCCUCACGUCCAGCCGUGGUUUUUUUGGGAGCAGAAGGACCCAAAACCUGCCAGGUUUUCUCCUCUGAGCUCCUUUGGGACGUGCGUGGAGAGGGAUGGCGGCUGGGAAAGGAAUUCCUUUCUGUUUGUCCUCAUGGAUCAUGAGUGGUGUUUGGAAAGGAGGUUGGUCAACAAGGAAGGAAAAAUUGCACCAGUACUUGCUUGGGCUGAAAUAUUUCCCUAAAUAAGUUUUGGCACUUUGGAGGGUCGUCUCUGCUGGGAUGAGUGGCUUGGCCAGAGUGGAAAGAGGGUGAACACCAAACCUGAGGCCUGCUGGAGCUGAUGGACAAUUGACACCUGGAUUCAGCUGUGAGAGGUUGGAACAUUCUUGAGAGAAGAAAGAAAAAGGAGUCAUCUGAGGCUAUGAUGCAGGAAAACUUUAUUGAGGCAAAAAAAAAAAAAAAAGUAAAAAGCAGGAGAAGUAAAUAGAAUGGAGCGGGUCUGAGGUGCAGUAGGACAAAUAUCAGCGCAGAUCCUUUGAUUGCAGCAGGUCUGGCCAGAGCAUCAGGGAUUUCCUGCCCCACAGUGGGAGCAGCCCAGCAGAGCUGCCCGAGGGUCUCUGGCUUGGGAGAAGGGGUUUGUCCAAAGGGACUGGACAGAGUCGAAGGGGCGAUGCAGAGCAGGGAGCAGGAGAAGAGGAGGAGGCAGAUGGGCCAUGUUUGGGGACAGCCCAGGCUGGCCCCGUGCCUGCUGCCUUGCUUGCUGGCCUGAGAGCAGAGCUGGAAGUGCUGAGUCCAUUUGAGAGCCUUGGCCCAGAGAUGCAUCCUCAAUGCCUGAGAUGAGUUCCAGGGAGUGGGUGGUUGGUGUCAGGGAUGGUGCUGAGGGCUCUUAGCAGAUGUAGCCGCCCCUUCUGCCAUAGCAGUCCAGGCCUCCCAGCCCAUAGCCAAAUCCACGGCCAUAGCCAAGGCCAUAGCCAAAGCCACCAAAGCCACCAGAGAUGGGCUGUCCCUGCACGCUGAGCUCAGUGCCCACGGCAGCUGAGGAGGUGGAUCCGACGGCGGUGUUCUGGGGGA